AGAUCUACAAAAGGUGCACAGGUGGACAAAGAAGACCCUUGCACUCAAGCGUGCACAUACUUCCGAAGAAGCCAGCAACAGACAAGAGUACAAAGUGUUCAAAGUUCAAUAAUGAUCCUUCCGCAGGUUCACCUACGGA
This 139-nucleotide unclassified non-coding RNA is filed under the name uncultured Strobilurus. RNAcentral describes it as "sequence contains ITS1". The record is from RNAcentral. Lineage: Eukaryota; Fungi; Basidiomycota; Agaricomycetes; Agaricales; Physalacriaceae.